AACGUACCCAGUAGCGGGGGAUAACUACGCGAAAGCGUGGCUAAUACCGCAUACGCCCUUAGGGGGAAAGGUGGGGAUUCUUCGGAACCUGUCACUAUUGGAUCGGCCGAUAUCGGAUUAGCUAGUUGGUGGGGUAAAGGCCUACCAAGGCGACGAUCCGUAGCUGGUUUGAGAGGACGACCAGCCACACUGGGACUGAGACACGGCCCAGACUCCUACGGGAGGCAGCAGUGGGGAAUUUUGGACAAUGGGGGCAACCCUGAUCCAGCCAUUUCGCGUGUGCGAUGAAGGCCUUCGGGUUGUAAAGCACUUUUGGCGGGGAAGGAAAGCACUGGGUUAAUACCCUGGUGUCAUGACGGUACCCGCAGAAUAAGCACCGGCUAACUACGUGCCAGCAGCCGCGGUAAUACGUAGGGUGCGAGCGUUAAUCGGAAUUACUGGGCGUAAAGGGUGCGUAGGCGGUUGCGCAAGACAGAGGUGAAAUCCCCGGGCUUAACCUGGGAAUUGCCUUUGUGACUGUGCGGCUAGAGUAUGUCAGAGGGGGGUAGAAUUCCACGUGUAGCAGUGAAAUGCGUAGAUAUGUGGAGGAAUACCGAUGGCGAAGGCAGCCCCCUGGGAUGAUACUGACGCUGAUGCACGAAAGCGUGGGGAGCAUACAGGAUUAGAUACCCUGGUAGUCCACGCCCUAAACGAUGUCAACUAGCUGUUGGGG
This 712-nucleotide ribosomal RNA is filed under the name uncultured Burkholderiales bacterium. RNAcentral describes it as "bacterial SSU rRNA". It matches the Rfam family "Bacterial small subunit ribosomal RNA", at positions 123 to 828 of the family's 1533-position model. The record is from RNAcentral. Lineage: Bacteria; Pseudomonadati; Pseudomonadota; Betaproteobacteria; Burkholderiales.